AGUGAACGCUGGCGGUAGGCCUAACACAUGCAAGUCGAACGGCAGCACAGUAAGCGCUUGCUCUUACGGGUGGCGAGUGGCGGACGGGUGAGGAAUACAUCGGAAUCUACUUUUUCGUGGGGGAUAACGUAGGGAAACUUACGCUAAUACCGCAUACGACCUACGGGUUAAAGCAGGGGAUCUUCGGACCUUGCGCGAUUGAAUGAGCCGAUGUCGGAUUAGCUAGUUGGCGGGGUAAAGGCCCACCAAGGCGACGAUCCGUAGCUGGUCUGAGAGGAUGAUCAGCCACACUGGAACUGAGACACGGUCCAGACUCCUACGGGAGGCAGCAGUGGGGAAUAUUGGACAAUGGGCGCAAGCCUGAUCCAGCCAUACCGCGUGGGUGAAGAAGGCCUUCGGGUUGUAAAGCCCUUUUGUUGGGAAAGAAAAGCAGCAGGUUAAUACCCCGCUGUUCUGACGGUACCCAAAGAAUAAGCACCGGCUAACUUCGUG
RNAcentral lists this ribosomal RNA (492 nucleotides) under uncultured bacterium. RNAcentral describes it as "partial 16S ribosomal RNA". It matches the Rfam family "Bacterial small subunit ribosomal RNA", at positions 29 to 507 of the family's 1533-position model. The record is from RNAcentral.